GACGAACGCUGGCGGCGUGCUUAACACAUGCAAGUCGAACGAUGAAGCUGGAGCUUGCUCUAGCGGAUUAGUGGCGAACGGGUGGGUAACACGUGAGCAAUCUGCCCUUGACUCUGGGAUAACUGCGGGAAACUGUAGCUAAUACCGGAUACGACCCUCGGCGGCAUCGCCAGGGGGUGGAAAGAAUUUCGGUCAAGGAUGGACUCGCGGCCUAUCAGCUAGUUGGUGAGGUAACGGCUCACCAAGGCGACGACGGGUAGCCGGCCUGAGAGGGUGACCGGCCACACUGGGACUGAGACACGGCCCAGACUCCUACGGGAGGCAGCAGUGGGGAAUAUUGCACAAUGGGCGCAAGCCUGAUGCAGCAACGCCGCGUGAGGGAUGACGGCCUUCGGGUUGUAAACCUCUUUUAGUAGGGAAGAAGCGAAAGUGACGGUACCUGCAGAAGAAGCACCGGCUAACUACGUGCCAGCAGCCGCCGUAA
Molecule: ribosomal RNA, 484 nt
Filed under: uncultured bacterium
Lineage: Bacteria
Description: partial 16S ribosomal RNA
Rfam family: Bacterial small subunit ribosomal RNA
Source: RNAcentral